GACAGAGGGGGCAAGCGUUGCUCGGAAUUACUGGGCGUAAAGGGCGCGUAGGCGGGAUGGCAAGUCGGUCGUGAAAUCCCUCGGCUCAACCGAGGAACGUCGAUCGAUACUGCUGUUCUUGAGGAUUGCAGAGGAGACUGGAAUUCCCGGUGUAGCGGUGAAAUGUGUAGAGAUCGGGAGGAACACCGGUGGCGAAGGCGGGUCUCUGGGCAGUAACUGACGCUGAGGCACGAAGGCCAGGGGAGCAAACGGG
Molecule: ribosomal RNA, 253 nt
Filed under: uncultured bacterium
Lineage: Bacteria
Description: partial 16S ribosomal RNA
Rfam family: Bacterial small subunit ribosomal RNA
Source: RNAcentral